GAGGAAAGCUGGCGGCGUGCCUAAUACAUGCAAGUCGAGCGAACGGACGAGAAGCUUGCUUCUCUGAUGUUAGCGGCGGACGGGUGAGUAACACGUGGAUAACCUACCUAUAAGACUGGGAUAACUUCGGGAAACCGUAGCUAAUACCGGAUAAUAUUUUGAACCGCAUGGUUCAAAAGUGAAAGACGGUCUUGCUGUCACUUAUAGAUGGAUCCGCGCUGCAUUAGCUAGUUGGUAAGGUAACGGCUUACCAAGGCAACGAUGCAUAGCCGACCUGAGAGGGUGAUCGGCCACACUGGAACUGAGACACGGUCCAGACUCCUACGGGAGGCAGCAGUAGGGAAUCUUCCGCAAUGGGCGAAAGCCUGACGGAGCAACGCCGCGUGAGUGAUGAAGGUCUUCGGAUCGUAAAACUCUGUUAUUAGGGAAGAACAUAUGUGUAAGUAACUGUGCACAUCUUGACGGUACCUAAUCAGAAAGCCACGGCUAACUACGUG
RNAcentral lists this ribosomal RNA (497 nucleotides) under uncultured bacterium. RNAcentral's name for it is "partial 16S ribosomal RNA". It matches the Rfam family "Bacterial small subunit ribosomal RNA", at positions 28 to 507 of the family's 1533-position model. The record is from RNAcentral.